CACUGGUCAGACCGCUGUUAUGUGGCCGGUCAGACCGCCAGCCUACCUGUGGUUGGACCGUCGGGAUCCUGAAAAAAUAUCGAUCGACAAAGCUUUAAGAUGUAGAUUGAAUCUCUCGACUUUUAUUAAUCAACCAGUGCUUACAAAGUGCAUAGAAAACACUCCUAACAAAAACUUUCGAUCUAAUAUCGAAAUAGAGUCGAAACCCUAAUUUUCUCUC
Molecule: long non-coding RNA, 220 nt
Filed under: Oryza brachyantha (malo sina)
Lineage: Eukaryota; Viridiplantae; Streptophyta; Magnoliopsida; Poales; Poaceae
Description: long non-coding RNA (OBRA_LNC001678)
Source: RNAcentral